UACGUUGCUGCUAGGUUUGAAGUAGAGUAAAUAAGUAAAAUUGUUCUUUUAGUUCUAAUAGAUACGCAAAUACCUAAAGAAGAGAGAAAAGGGCUUCAAGUAGUCGCCGACGCAUGCGAGUAGGAAGAAAAGGCUGUAGAGGGUCUUUGGUGGAGUUGACCAGAUCCAGGAGCAGCUUUUGGACCUCAGCAGUAGGAUUUGAUCGGGAGCUGACUUCAGUCCAGAGACUCCGAGGUAGUCUUGCUGACGUCCGCAGGCCCGAAGUCUCUCUCUCUUUAUUCAGUUUGUUAUCUUUUGUACCGAAACAAACAGUUUAUAAUUUUCUUUCAGACGAUCGUAUUUAGUAAAUCUUAGAAGUUCGUGAGCAUUGUGACACCAAUCUGGGGUAGAGAAUUAUGUUAAACUUUCCGCAUUUCUAUUCA
Nicotiana tabacum (common tobacco) is the source of this 422-nucleotide non-coding RNA. Lineage: Eukaryota; Viridiplantae; Streptophyta; Magnoliopsida; Solanales; Solanaceae. The record is from RefSeq and is a predicted model, not a curated record.